This 305-nucleotide ribosomal RNA is filed under the name uncultured bacterium. RNAcentral describes it as "bacterial SSU rRNA". It matches the Rfam family "Bacterial small subunit ribosomal RNA", at positions 338 to 658 of the family's 1533-position model. The record is from RNAcentral.
CCUACGGGGCGCAGCAGUGGGGGAUAUUGCACAAUGGGGGAAACCCUGAUGCAGCGACGCCGCGUGUGGGAAGACGGUCCUCUGGAUUGUAAACCACUGUCCCCAGGGACGAAAAUGACGGUACCUGGGGAGGAAGCCCCGGCUAACUACGUGCCAGCAGCCGCGGUAAUACGUAGGGGGCAAGCGUUAUCCGGAUUUACUGGGUGUAAAGGGAGCGUAGGUGGCAUGGUAAGCCAGAAGUGAAAACCCAGGGCUCAACUCUGUGGAUUGCUUUUGGAACUAUCAAGCUAGAGUGCUGGAGGGGU